RNAcentral lists this unclassified non-coding RNA (266 nucleotides) under Hevea brasiliensis (rubber tree). The record is from RNAcentral. Lineage: Eukaryota; Viridiplantae; Streptophyta; Magnoliopsida; Malpighiales; Euphorbiaceae.
AACAAGAACAAGAACAAGAACAAACCAACAAAUCUCAACAAAUUCAAGCACCCAGCAAAAGAAGGACUCUAAAUAGGGGAAGGGACUGGGACUUGGUUGAUCUCUUGUCACCAUUCUUGAACAUCAAACAAACUACCGUAAGAUUUGAGAUACAUGCAAGUAACGAUGAUGGAAAGUAGAGAAUGAAGAGUCAAUGGCAAGUGGAGAACGAUGAGUUGACGGGAACUAAAAUGGCCUGAUAUUGCUUUGUCAGAUUGUAGAAAGAG